Small nucleolar RNA from Scomber japonicus (chub mackerel), 78 nucleotides. RefSeq annotates it as small nucleolar RNA SNORD66. The record is from RefSeq and is a predicted model, not a curated record. Lineage: Eukaryota; Metazoa; Chordata; Actinopteri; Scombriformes; Scombridae. The transcript has a single exon.
CUCCAAUGAUGACCAAUGAUUUUGUGCCACGUGUCUGGGCCACUGAAUGUUAAUGAUGGUAUUGAGGAGCUGAAGGAG